Onychomys torridus (southern grasshopper mouse) is the source of this 463-nucleotide non-coding RNA. The record is from the annotation of a RefSeq genome assembly. NCBI's taxonomy places the organism in Eukaryota, Metazoa, Chordata, Mammalia, Rodentia, Cricetidae.
AUGGACAUGAGGGCCCCUGCUCAGCUCCUCGGGCUCCUGUUGCUCUGGUUACCAGGUGCCAGAUGUGACAUCCAGAUGACCCAGUCUCCAUCCUCCCUCUCUGCAUCUCUAGGAGACAGAGUCACUAUCACUUGUCGGUCCAGUCAGGGCAUUAGCAAUUAUUUAAACUGGUACCAGCAGAAACCAGGGAAAGCUCCUAAGCUCCUGAUCUAUUAUUCAAAUAGCUUGGCAGAUGGAGUCCCAUCGAGGUUCAGUGGCAGUGGGUCUGGGGCAGAUUAUUCCCUCACCAUCGGCAGCCUGGAGUCUGAAGACAUUGCCACUUAUUACUGUCAACAGAGUAUGAAUCUUCCUCCCACAAGCUUUGCAGAGCAACUCACAGAACUGAACUUGAUUCCAGAACGGAAGCUACCAAGCCUGGAUGAAACUAUCAGCUCAAUUCCACCACCAUUUUUCUAUAAGUUCG